RNAcentral lists this ribosomal RNA (253 nucleotides) under uncultured bacterium. Its description in RNAcentral is "partial 16S ribosomal RNA". It matches the Rfam family "Bacterial small subunit ribosomal RNA", at positions 524 to 776 of the family's 1533-position model. The record is from RNAcentral.
UACGGAGGGUGCAAACGUUGCUCGGAAUUAUUGGGCGUAAAGCGCGUGUAGGCGGCUUAGCAAGUCGGGCGUGAAAGCCCUCGGCUCAACCGAGGAAGUGCACCCGAAACUGCUGAGCUUGAGUGCCGGAGAGGAUGGCGGAAUUCCCCAAGUAGAGGUGAAAUUCGUAGAUAUGGGGAGGAACACCGGUGGCGAAGGCGGCCAUCUGGACGGUAACUGACGCUGAGACGCGAAAGCGUGGGGAGCAAACAGG